Molecule: unclassified non-coding RNA, 227 nt
Filed under: Hevea brasiliensis (rubber tree)
Lineage: Eukaryota; Viridiplantae; Streptophyta; Magnoliopsida; Malpighiales; Euphorbiaceae
Source: RNAcentral
GUCGAAUCUUUUGUACACAAGUACAAGGCAUCAAAUAAUGGGAAAUUCCCUCCGAUAUCACAUACUCUGAAACAAGUAGGUGGCUCUUUUUAUGUUGUUAGGAAAAUCCUUCAGGAGCUUCAGAAUGAAUCUGCAACGUCGUCCUUAAAAUGUAGAAGUAAAAAGUCAUUUCAAGAAACGGAAAUCAAAGAGAACCCUAAUGUUGGUGGCAAACAUUUGGAAGCAGC